GGCCAAACUACCCUACAGACCGCGAUAACCUCGGGAAACUGAGGCCAAUAGCGGAUAUAACUCUCAGGCUGGAGUGCCGAGAGUUAGAAACGUUCCGGCGCUGUAGGAUGUGGCUGCGGCCGAUUAGGUAGAUGGUGGGGUAACGGCCCACCAUGCCGAUAAUCGGUACAGGUUGUGAGAGCAAGAGCCUGGAGACGGUAUCUGAGACAAGAUACCGGGCCCUACGGGGCGCAGCAGGCGCGAAACCUUUACACUGCACGACAGUGCGAUAGGGGGACUCCGAGUGUGAGGGCAUAUAGCCCUCGGCUUUUCUGAACCGUAAGGUGGUUCAGGAACAAGGACUG
This 344-nucleotide ribosomal RNA is filed under the name halophilic archaeon. RNAcentral's name for it is "bacterial SSU rRNA". It matches the Rfam family "Archaeal small subunit ribosomal RNA", at positions 102 to 444 of the family's 1478-position model. The record is from RNAcentral. Lineage: Archaea; Methanobacteriati; Methanobacteriota; Halobacteria; Halobacteriales.